CUGGCUGUUCGGUGAUGCAAGUGUUCAACGUUUGCACACUGACAGUAAAAGCAAUCUGAAACAGGAAAUCCACAAAAAUGGCAGCAAUGUGCUACAAAAUUUCUAUAAACUCUAAUAUCAAUACCAAUGGCCUACUUUCACCUCCCCCAAACAAAUUACACUCACAUCUUUUACUCUCAAAUCAAAAAUUUUGUGGCCGCAGGACCCUUGCAAGUCCACCUUUUUCAUUGAUACGAAGUAAAAAAUGUUGGCAUGGAUCACUUCGAGUUUCGAAUUCGAGUCAGUCUUCGGCGUCUAACUCCUUCGAUGUUGUCAUAGUUGGUGCCGGAAUCAUUGGAUUGACCAUCGCACGCCACUUGCUCCUUGCCUCAGAUCUCUCCGUCGCCCUAGUUGAUGCUGCUGUUCCUUGCUCUGGCGCAACUGGAGCAGGUCAAGGAUACAUAUGGAAAGCACACAAAACACCCGGUACUGAGAAAUGGGACUUAAUGAUGAGAAGCCACCAAUUAUGGGAGAGCCUAGCCAAGAGAAUUCAACUUCAAGGGAUGGAUCCUUUAGAGGUACUUGGCUGGAAGAAAACAGGAAGCCUUUUAGUAAGUAAAACAACAGAUGAGUCAGCAAUAUUAAAAAGGAGGGUGGAGGAGCUAUCACAGGAGGGAUUGAGAGCUGAGUUCUUGUCCUCCAAUGACUUGCUAUCAGAAGAACCGGAACUUGUGGUUGAGAAGGAAGGUGGGGCAGCUUUUUUCCCGGAUGAUUACCAAUUAGACGCUCAUCGUACUGUUGCAUUUAUUGAGAAGGGUAACAGGCAUUUUGCUGUGGAAGGGAGAUAUGCUGAAUUUUAUCAUGAACCCGCUAUUGGAUUAGUUAGACAUGGAAAUAGCUGCGAGGUUGGAGCUAUUCAAACUUCCAAGAAUACAUUGCACAGUAAGAAGGCUGUUGUGAUUGCAGCAGGUUGUUGGACUGGGUCUUUGAUGCACGACCUGAUUAAGCAACCAGAUAUUGACCUCGACCUUCCCAUAAAGCCUCGAAAGGGUCACUUGCUUGUGAUAGAGAAUUUCAAGUCAUUCAAGCUGAAUCAUGGAAUUAUGGAGGCAGGUUAUACCAAGCAUCAGUCGGCAACCCUUAAAGCUACUUCAUCUGAUUCAGGGCCUGUCUAUAAUGCACAAGAUUUGUCUGUUUCAAUGACGGCAACUAUGGAUGCAUCAGGCAAUCUCGUCCUUGGGAGUAGCCGACAACUUGUUGGGUUUAACACAGAGGUAGAUGAAUCUGUCAUCAACCACAUAUGGCAGCGGGUUGGAGAGUUCAUACCUGCUUUAAGACAUGAAUCUCUUGAAGAUUUGCGUGAAAGCAGAGAAGUUAGAAUAGGACUUAGACCUUACAUUCCUGACGGGAAGCCUGUCAUUGGGCUUGUUCCUGGAUUUUCAAACGUCUUUCUUGCUGCGGG
Molecule: unclassified non-coding RNA, 1441 nt
Filed under: Hevea brasiliensis (rubber tree)
Lineage: Eukaryota; Viridiplantae; Streptophyta; Magnoliopsida; Malpighiales; Euphorbiaceae
Source: RNAcentral